This 1477-nucleotide long non-coding RNA is filed under the name Chrysolophus pictus (golden pheasant). RNAcentral's name for it is "lncRNA (ENSCPIG00010006063.1)". Lineage: Eukaryota; Metazoa; Chordata; Aves; Galliformes; Phasianidae. The record is from RNAcentral.
AGGACUCACAGCUUGCCUCUUUCCUUGUUUGGACAUAACAGUGAUGGACCAGAUUUUUCUGGGAGCAAGUACCUGGCCUUCAGCUUGUGCCAAAGGUGCAAUGGAAGAAUGCCUUUCAGGAACAUGGAAAAGGGCAGGAAAGCCCAGGAUUAUCCUGUAAAGUCCUCAGAGUCUCUUCAGGACCAGCAGCAAGACACCUCUCACUUGGAGCAGCCAUCUCUGGCUUCAUAUGCUGUCCUGCACCCUGUCAGGCACCAUCUGCUUGACACCACAUCUCUUGCUGAGACCCUGCUACCCAGAGGCAUCUCACCAUGGCACGAACAGGUCUGCCACCUCUGCCUGGUUCUUGAGCAGGUCUUGUGGUGUGGGACCAGAUCCAGAAGGAAGUUAAGGCUUGGUGUGGCACAGGGAGUAGUUCUGGCUGAGCACCAAUGUGCUGUGAUGUUGAUUGUGAAACCAGGAGCUGGAGGGGACUGAUGGAAGUAACUCAAAGUCACAAUCCAGGGAAACAUCUGAGGUCAAGAUCUAGGUGUAAAUGAUAAAAUAUGAAGGAGGGAAGAGAAACGUAAAAAACAGCACACAGCUGUGUUUAAAGAACAGAGGACUUAAGAAAAGAAUAAGUAGCUUAGGGGACCUGAGGGCAAUGUUGAUCACAUGGAUGGCACCUGCGCCAUAAAUCUUGGCAUGGCGGCAAACCAGCAGAUGUUUUGGAGCUGCUGGGAUACUGCUUUCUGAUCCACCUGUGACAUGCCCAACCUGGCUACACAAAGGCCCACAGCUGAGUGUUGUCACUCUGACAGCUCAGUUCCACUAUACUGCUUUCUCAUUCCCCUUGCUCAAAAGAACUGGGAGAGAAAAUAUGAUGAAAAAGGCUCACGAGUUGAGGUAAGGACAGGAAUGUCAUUCACCAAUUACUGUCACGGGCAAAACAGACUUAAUGUAGAGAGAUGAAUGUACUUUAUUGAGUAUUGCUUACAAACUAGAGCAGCAAGAACUAAAAGAAAACUACAAAUGCUGUCACCCCAUCCAGUCCUGUCCUGUCUCCUCUCUCUGAGUGGUGCAGGGGAAUGGAGGCUGCAGUCAGUCUAUAGUGCUUUGACUUUGCUAUGGCUUGGUGUGGUCUGCCAUGGUGGCCUGGGGCAGCGUGCCAGGAGGAGUCUGUGACUGCAGCCUCAGCAGGGCUACUUGAAGGCACUGUUGCCACCACAGAUUUGUAUUAAAUUACAGUAUGAAUUUUCCUACAGAUGCUGGAAAAACCGUAAGGUAGUGAUGGAUAAUCAUACUGCUUCUGGUUUUUACUGAAUCAUUAUAGUGCCUCUUCUCCUUCACAUUGAUUUCCUCUAAAGAACAGAAAGCUGAAUGUAAGUUUGAUUAGUUACUGAAUGCCAGGACAGAAAAGGCAGAGGAAGAUGGGAGCUUGACAAAUGGAAAUAAGUUUUUUGUGGAGAGUAAUUCAAGCUUUUUUGUACAGUGUGUG